This 400-nucleotide ribosomal RNA is filed under the name uncultured bacterium. RNAcentral describes it as "bacterial SSU rRNA". It matches the Rfam family "Bacterial small subunit ribosomal RNA", at positions 356 to 773 of the family's 1533-position model. The record is from RNAcentral.
GGGGAAUAUUGGACAAUGGGGGCAACCCUGAUCCAGCCAUGCCGCGUGAAUGAUGAAGGCCUUCGGGUUGUAAAAUUCUUUUGGUGGGGACGAUGAUGACGGUACCCACAGAAUAAGCUCCGGCUAACUUCGUGCCAGCAGCCGCGGUAAUACGAAGGGGGCUAGCGUUGUUCGGAAUUACUGGGCGUAAAGGGCGCGUAGGCGGCUUGAUAAGUUGGAUGUGAAAUCCCAGGGCUCAACCCUGGAAUUGCAUUCAAGACUAUCUUGCUUGAAUUCGGUAGAGGUUGGUGGAAUUCCCAGUGUAGAGGUGAAAUUCGUAGAGAUUGGGAAGAAUAUCCGUGGCGAAGGCGGCCAACUGGACCGACAUUGACGCUGAGGCGCGAAAGCGUGGGGAGCAAAC